UACGGAGGGUGCAAGCGUUAUCCGGAUUCACUGGGUUUAAAGGGUGCGUAGGUGGGUUGGUAAGUCAGUGGUGAAAUCUCCGAGCUUAACUCGGAAACUGCCAUUGAUACUAUCAGUCUUGAAUACCGUGGAGGUCAGUGGAAUAUGUCAUGUAGCGGUGAAAUGCUUAGAUAUGACAUAGAACACCAAUUGCGAAGGCAGCUGGCUACACGAAUAUUGACACUCAGGCACGAAAGCGUGGGGAUCAAACAGG
RNAcentral lists this ribosomal RNA (253 nucleotides) under uncultured Terrimonas sp. RNAcentral describes it as "partial 16S ribosomal RNA". It matches the Rfam family "Bacterial small subunit ribosomal RNA", at positions 524 to 776 of the family's 1533-position model. The record is from RNAcentral. Lineage: Bacteria; Pseudomonadati; Bacteroidota; Chitinophagia; Chitinophagales; Chitinophagaceae.